CCCUGUCCCAAGUGCCCCCCAGUCCUGAUUAAGUCAACCCAAACCGAUGCGAACAGGAAAAUAAAGAACCCUCGACCCUGCCCCCAAUCCAUCUUCCACGCCGCCGCGUGCCGCCUUCGCUGCCACGCCGCCGCGCGCCGUCAACCCCGUCGGCGCCCCCCCCCCCCCCCCCCCCCUGUCCCAAGUGCCCCCAUCCCCGCGGCCUUCCACCGCCGACGACACUCGAUGUUGCAGCCGUUGCCGGCUUCCCCCGUCCCUGCUACCACGGCGCCGCCGGGACUCCUCCCCACUGCUUCCACCUCGGCAAUGGUUCCCCCAACCCCGCCGGCUUCGCCAUCCCGGCGCGCUCCACCACCCGUUGGACCCAUCCGCCUGGCUCCCCCACCCGCAUAUCAUCUCCAACCCAGCGCCCACUCAGAUGCGGCGGCCGCCGCCACUCAACCGCAGGGCCUGCUGAACACGUGCUCCCGUCGCCGCCUCCUCAGCCUAAAAAGCCACACCGAGGACUAUUCCUCGGAGCCUCCUCCUGCUCAUGGUUCACCGGCCCCGCGCCUCCCUUGCGGUGGCGACACGGCUGAGGGCGCAGCCAGCAAGGGUGUCGUCUAGGGGUGGCGGGGAAGUUGCUGGCGGGCGAGCUCUGCCUGUUGACGCGUGGAUGGGAGGGGUCCAGGAGCCACCACGACAACCAGGAGAGUCUUCCUAGAGAGCGAGGACUCGCGCGACAGCAGCGGCGACGAGCCCGACGGUCUUGCCGACCUCACCCACCUCGCCAAUAAGUUCUAGGUAUGAACGUUGUGCACCCCCUUCUGCCCACCCCUUGCUGUUGCAGGCUUCCACCAUCUGCUGGUGUGACUUUCUUUUGUGUUCACGACCAUACUUUUCCCCAAAUUGUGUUCGGCAGCUUGGCAGGUUGGAUAGGUAACUGGUUACUACCAUAUAAAUUAUUACUGCUUCUGAACCUCUGAUCGGUGUAGGUUGGAGGAACAUCUCUGAAUCACAUGUAUAGCAACUACUGAAUUUGCUGUUACUUCUUCCAAGUAAAUUAUUGGUUAGCAAUUAUGAUGUUCUAGCCUGUUAGAAUCACAACGCAUGAUAACACAACCAAAAAUUUGAUAUGUCUGGCAUGUUUGAUCUGAUUUUACUCCAUGACCACAGCGCAUAACAAAAAUCUAUGAUAACCUCUUGCUGACACCUUGCCAUGUGCGCCAUUAUCAAGCCUGAUUCAAAGAAGGCGGUCAGUUUUCUAUUUUGCUCAUUUAUUUUACCCAGAAUAGUAAUUGGGUUAACUUAACUUACUGUGUCGGUUUAUGCUGGAGAUGACAUUUCGUGCCUUUCAUUUUAGAUGUACACAAGCAAGCAAACUGCAGACAAGAAGGAAAAUAAGUUUCUCUCCGUGGUUCACUUGCUGUUGUUCUCUGUCCACGAGACAGAGCUUCAGUCUCUCAUAACUCGUAAUAGGUCGAUGUACUAUCACCUGCAUCCGUCAUCUACUCGUGGAGCUCUGGAGAUACUUCAGAUACGACACAGUGGCCUACGUGUCCAAAUGUCAGGGUUAUAUUCAACAAUUGUAGAAAGCUGUAGAAAAUAUAAUACACAAUUUUUUCUUGCAUAUAUAGAUUUACUUGAUAUUUUUAGUAAUCAAAUAAUUUGGUAUUCAGUGUUUACUUGAAUAUUUUAUAUUGAUUUCUAGCAAUGUUCAGUAACAGAGCAAUGGACCGAGAGACAUUCUCAGUGUGCUGUAGUUUCCAUGCUGUGUUAUCAGGAGGGAGACCCGGCGUCCAAGUCACGGACAAUAUGUCGAGCCGUGGCACCAUCCAGCUACAAGAGUCGGCCGCCCAGGACGGCAAUGUCGGCAAGAUACUCCACGUAAUUCUGACCUCCCCAUCCUCUUGUUUGAUCCUUCUUGCUAUGCUUUUUUAGCUGCUGAUGGUUGGCGUACCAUGUUGUGCGUAGAGGACAGAGGACAGGGGGAAAGAGUACGACAAUAUUGUGAGAUCAAGAGUUAUGAUUUGUGAGGGAACAAAUAAUUUUCUUGAUCUUUGUGUUGACGAGAUGGCGGCUUUCCUAGGGUAGCAUUGUGUCCGAUGGGGGCAGGGUUGCACCAUGGGGAACUGUGAAUGCCAUUUGGGUUGAAAGAACACAAUCAAUGAUGGAUUGACACAGACCUUUGUGGAGUUAAAACAUGAAAAAUAUUGAUAUUUUUCUAAUACAAUUCCAGCAUGAUGAUGUAUCUUUCACCUUUACAAUUUUUUGCAUAAAAAGGCAGGGGCAUUGAUGAUGGGCAGGAAUGGUGGUUGCGCUGUAGUGAAACAUGAGUGUUGUGGAUGGUCCCUAUAGACGAUACAGGAUGACGCCAAGUUGCCAACCAUCAUUACAAGUUUGCCGAAAUAGAAAUACGAAGAGAAGUGGCAAUACAGAUAAACCGCUAGAAAGUAUGAGCUCCUGAAUGUCCUGGAAUUUAGUAGCUCAUGAAAAUGGAUGUGCCUUUUAGUGAAGGAACCAGAGGGGAGGAUACCUGUUAAAGAAUUUGAGGAAGAGACUGGAAGUCUGUUUUAUCCAUGUGUACCGGCUAGAAGAUAAUUCGAGGAAGAGAUUAAAAGGCACAUAAAUCAAUAUUCUGAUUCUGGUGUAAGAACUUUGGUUCUUGUAUACCUUGUCUUACAUGAGAAAGAGUAUGCGGUUGAUGAAUACUUCAGCACUGCCAAACCAUCUGGACGUGCACAGGCAGGAUAAUCUAUGGCAUUCUGCCAUUUUAUACAAUCAUGUUUGCUUCAUGCAUGAUCAAUCUACAUCAUUUUUCCCA
This is a non-coding RNA of Aegilops tauschii subsp. strangulata, 2803 nucleotides long. Lineage: Eukaryota; Viridiplantae; Streptophyta; Magnoliopsida; Poales; Poaceae. The record is from RefSeq and is a predicted model, not a curated record.